GAUGAACGCUGGCGGCGUGCCUAAUACAUGCAAGUCGAGCGAACAGACGAGGAGCUUGCUCCUCUGACGUUAGCGGCGGACGGGUGAGUAACACGUGGAUAACCUACCUAUAAGACUGGGAUAACUUCGGGAAACCGGAGCUAAUACCGGAUAAUAUAUUGCACCGCAUGGUUCAAUAGUGAAAGACGGUUUUGCUGUCUCUUAUAGAUGGAUCCGCGCCGCAUUAGCUAGUUGGUAAGGUAACGGCUUACCAAGGCUACGAUGCGUAGCCGACGUGCGAGGGUGGUCGGCCACACUGGAACUGAGACACGGUCCAGACUCCUGCGGGAGGCAGCAGUAGGGAAUCUUCCGCAAUGGGCGAAAGCCUGACGGAGCAACGCCGCGUGAGUGAUGAAGGUCUUCGGAUCGUAAAACUCUGUUAUUAGGGAAGAACAAAUGUGUAAGUAACUAUGCACGUCUUGACGGUACCUAAUCAGAAAGCCACGGCUAACUACGUG
Molecule: ribosomal RNA, 497 nt
Filed under: uncultured bacterium
Lineage: Bacteria
Description: partial 16S ribosomal RNA
Rfam family: Bacterial small subunit ribosomal RNA
Source: RNAcentral